This 460-nucleotide ribosomal RNA is filed under the name uncultured bacterium. Its description in RNAcentral is "bacterial SSU rRNA". It matches the Rfam family "Bacterial small subunit ribosomal RNA", at positions 28 to 487 of the family's 1533-position model. The record is from RNAcentral.
GAUGAACGCUAGCGGCAGGCUUAACACAUGCAAGUCGAGGGGUAGAAGGAGCUUGCUCCUUUGAGACCGGCGCACGGGUGCGUAACGCGUAUGCAAUCUACCUUUUGCAGAGGAUAGCCCAGAGAAAUUUGGAUUAAUACCUCAUAGUAUGUGAGGAUGGCAUCAUUUUCACAUUAAAGUCACAACGGCAAAAGAUGAGCAUGCGUCCCAUUAGCUAGUUGGUAAGGUAACGGCUUACCAAGGCUACGAUGGGUAGGGGUCCUGAGAGGGAGAUCCCCCCACACUGGUACUGAGACACGGACCAGACUCCUACGGGAGGCAGCAGUGAGGAAUAUUGGACAAUGGGCGCAAGCCUGAUCCAGCCAUGCCGCGUGCAGGAUGACGGUCCUAUGGAUUGUAAACUGCUUUUGCACAGGAAGAAACAACGCUACGUGUAGCGUCUUGACGGUACUGUGAGAAU